RNAcentral lists this ribosomal RNA (253 nucleotides) under uncultured bacterium. RNAcentral describes it as "partial 16S ribosomal RNA". It matches the Rfam family "Bacterial small subunit ribosomal RNA", at positions 524 to 776 of the family's 1533-position model. The record is from RNAcentral.
UACGUAGGGUGCGAGCGUUGCCCGGAUUUAUUGGGCGUAAAGCGCACGCAGGCGGUCUGUUCAGUUUGGAGUGACAGUUCCUGGCUCAACCGGGAAAGUGCUUCGAAUACUGGCGGACUUGAGGGCUUCAGAGGGACACGGAAUUCCGGGUGGAGUGGUGAAAUGCGUAGAGAUCCGGAGGAACACCAAAGGCGAAGGCAGUGUCCUGGGGAGUACCUGACGCUCAGGUGCGAAAGCCAGGGGAGCGAACGGG